Molecule: long non-coding RNA, 2378 nt
Organism: Equus asinus (donkey)
Lineage: Eukaryota; Metazoa; Chordata; Mammalia; Perissodactyla; Equidae
Source: Ensembl
CACAGUGCACAUCCCAAAGGCACUUCCCAGUCAGUGCCUUGCACACAAACCUCAGUCUCCCGGAGAGCCUGUCCCACAACACCUUGCCGUGUGCCAAGCACUGUUCGAAGCAUUUACACAUAUUAGUUCAUGUGAUCCUCCCAACAGCCCCAGGAGGGAGGUAUUUUCGUCAUCCUCAGUUUACGGAUGAGAAAAACGGAGGAGGAACAGAAAGGCUAAGUAAACUGUGCAAGGUCACAGAGCUAGCGAGCGGUAAAGCCAGGAUUCCUGUGCAAGUGGUCAGACUCAGGAGCUUUGAGGGGCUGUUACACAACACUGUCUUCCAGAACAUUCCUGUGGUCUAGUCUCAGGGAAAUUAAAGAAAGGAAACAGCUGAAGCUAUAUUCUGAUUUCAGGGGAAAACAUCUUUGCUGCCCAAUUCUGUCACACCAGCCUCCUGCUGGUGCCUGAACAUGUAGCCCCGGGGCUUAAUCUUAGUUCAGUGGUUCUCAUCUGGGGGCGAUUUGCUCCCCAGAGGACAAUCGGCCAAGUCUGGAGCCUUGUGGUUGUCAGACCUGGGGGGAUGCUAAGGGCACUUAGCAGGUGGAGGUCAGGGGUGCUUCUACAUGUCCUACGAUGCACAGGGCUGUCCCCUGCCCCCCGCCCCCCCUCCAAAUCCAGCCCAAAAUGUCAGCUUGGGAAACUCUGCGGUCAAGAUUAAGGUGUGGUCUCCCGGCUGGUUUUCCCCUGAAGGGGUCCAGUGUGAGGCUACUUUGGUGAAAGUGGUCAGAGACACUGCAGCGUGCGGCGGAGAGAGGGUCUCAAAAGCAAAUCUCCUACCUCACAGUCCUUAAAGAACAAGUAUCAUCCCAAUGGGACAGCUGAGGACUCUGGAGCACCAAGAAGUCACAUGAGCGAGGAGAGAGGACCUGAUGGCCAUGGACACUCACUCCCUCUCUCAUAAGCUCGCAACACAUCAGCCCAGCAGGCCCAAGUUGGUUCAAGGAAAGAUCACAAGCUACGAGAUCCCAGGUGACCCACUCGUCCCUCACCUCUGACCUUACUCCUGCCACUCUGUCCCUUACCCAUUGCUGGCCACACUGUAUUCCUUAACAUGCUAAGCCCACUCCUGCCUCAGGGCCUUUGCACCUGCCAUUCCUUCAUCACUGAAUACUCUUUUCCAGCUAUCUGGUCUCAAUCCAAAUGUUACCCUCUUGGAGAGGCCAGGCAUUCCCUAACUACUCCAUAAAAGGACAAUACUUUCCCUCCUCCCUAUUCUCAUUACCUUGCUUUGUUUUUUCCUCAGCACUUAUCACCAUCUGAUGUACAAUAUAUUUAUUUGUUUAUCUCUGGCCUUCUUCCUUCUCAUCCCCAAACUGAUCUAUUGAAUGUCCGUUUUCACUGGUCCUGAUUUUUAAUUUUAGAUAUAUAUUUUUACCAUUUACUGUUUUUGUUAUAAGGUGUCUCUAAUCCAUUGUAGAAUAAAAAGAAAUAGAAGGAGCUGGCUCAUAAUUACAUGAUUAAUGGCAGAACCAUUCAUUAGACUAGUCCUGCUAAUAUUUUUCUACUAAGGUUUCCAAAUAGCAAAGUGGAGCAAAGAAACCCACCAACUGACCUCCCCAAGCUUUAGGAGAAGAGCCUGAAACUGCCCCCAAAAAGCAAAAUUUCCUUGAGGCUUUACCUUUCAUGGAUACUUUUCACUUUAUUUCCUAAUAUAUUUACACUUGUUCAACAAUAAAACCUUUUCCUCAAAGUUUUUCAGUAAAAAUAACUCCACUAACCAGGUACCCAAUAAGAAAAGCUGGGGCUGAGCCAUGCUGCUGGUCUGGGGGUCCCAGGGCUCCCCUGCUGCCCCUGCCUCCAGGGAGACUCCUGGUGGAUGUUUCCCUGUAGCUCUGUGUCCGUAGUGGGCCUUAGCUUCCUAAAAGGAUACUUUGUUAUCUCUUAGUUCCCACCAUGCUGAAUGUUAACAAUGGGCUUUAUUUGUGAAUGUGGUUGGAUGGAAGAAGCCAGAAUGUGGAGGAAACAAGAUGGCGGGGAGAGUGGGACUGAGGGGCUGGAUGGCUGGACAGAUGCUCCAACAGGACGUGGGCUCCCGGAGGUACUGUCAGGGCGCGUGAGCGGUUGAAGGAGCAAGGUCUCAGGGUAGUGAUAGCUCCUACCGUCCUCAGAGCCGAGGCCUGCUCAGGCGUGGCUGCCUUCUGUGCAGUAGGAGUCUCUGCAGCGAAGGGGCCCAGGCCGUUUCUGUAAUAGUGGUGGUUUCUAGGGUGGGGAACGGGGUGGCUGAGAAAUGGCCUGAGAAGGAGGACUUAGUUUUUACUGUUUAUCCUUUUGCACCUUUAAAAUUUUGUCCUGUGUCCAUUUAUUACGUGAAUGAAUGUAAAUAAAAUAUUUAAAAU